GCCCGGGUGGCGAAACUGGUAGACGCAAGCGACUUAAAAUCGCUCACCCGAAAGGGAGUGUGGGUUCGAGUCCCACCCCGGGCACCA
RNAcentral lists this transfer RNA (87 nucleotides) under Pseudoluteimonas lycopersici. RNAcentral describes it as "Lysobacter lycopersici tRNA-Leu". It matches the Rfam family "tRNA". From Rfam's summary of the family: Transfer RNA (tRNA) molecules are approximately 80 nucleotides in length. Their secondary structure includes four short double-helical elements and three loops (D, anti-codon, and T loops). The record is from RNAcentral. Lineage: Bacteria; Pseudomonadati; Pseudomonadota; Gammaproteobacteria; Lysobacterales; Lysobacteraceae.